Molecule: ribosomal RNA, 468 nt
Filed under: uncultured bacterium
Lineage: Bacteria
Description: partial 16S ribosomal RNA
Rfam family: Bacterial small subunit ribosomal RNA
Source: RNAcentral
GACGAACGCUGGCGGCGUGCUUAACACAUGCAAGUCGAACGGAAAGGCCCUGCUUUUGUGGGGUGCUCGAGUGGCGAACGGGUGAGUAACACGUGAGUAACCUGCCCUUGACUUUGGGAUAACUUCAGGAAACUGGGGCUAAUACCGGAUAGGAGCUCUCGCUGCAUGGUGGGGGUGGGAAAGUUUCGGCGGUUGGGGAUGGACUCGCGGCUUAUCAGCUUGUUGGUGGGGUAGUGGCUUACCAAGGCUUUGACGGGUAGCCGGCCUGAGAGGGUGACCGGUCACACUGAGAAUGAAGCGCGGCACAGACUACGACGGUAGGAAGGAGUGGGGAAUAAUGAACAAGGGGCGGAACCCUAAUGCGGCAACGCCGCGUGCGGUAUGAAGGCCUUCGGGUUGUAAACCGCUUUCGCCUGUGACGAAGCGUGAGUGACGGUAAUGGGUAAAGAAGCACCGGCUAACUACGUG